AAAUAUGAAGUAUUAUACAAUUAGUUUCGACCUAAUUUUUGGUAAUUUAUUACCCAUAUUUA
Molecule: transfer RNA, 62 nt
Filed under: Penicillidia dufourii
Lineage: Eukaryota; Metazoa; Arthropoda; Insecta; Diptera; Nycteribiidae
Description: tRNA-Arg
Source: RNAcentral